AUCUUUCCUCAUUGGUUUAUUCAUAUGAUGAUUGGUCUGAUCACGUGUCUGCAUGAAAUGUGCAACCUAUUGUUACGAUUGAGCACAUGACCAUCUGAUC
This is a small nucleolar RNA of Megalobrama amblycephala (Wuchang bream), 100 nucleotides long. RefSeq annotates it as small nucleolar RNA U13. NCBI's taxonomy places the organism in Eukaryota, Metazoa, Chordata, Actinopteri, Cypriniformes, Xenocyprididae. The record is from RefSeq and is a predicted model, not a curated record. The transcript has a single exon.